CUAGAACGACGCUCUUUGGGGGAUCUUUAAGGUCGCUGAAGCUGAAAACGAGGGUCGUUUUUUACGGAAAUAAGGCGUAAAAAAUUUUGCUCGAUCCGUUGAUGCGCGACGUCUUCGUGGAUUUUGACGGGACCCUUUUUCAAAUUUACUAUUCUCCGGCGAUCGUACGAUUUACUCUGUGUACAUCUGAACCCUUCGACGAUCCGAUAUAGGAGGGCAAGUACGGAAGAAACACUUUGCAGUCCGGAUACUAUAGCGAAUCGGAAGAUAAAUA
RNAcentral lists this unclassified non-coding RNA (274 nucleotides) under Bombus terrestris (buff-tailed bumblebee). RNAcentral's name for it is "misc RNA ENSBTSG00005029920.1". Lineage: Eukaryota; Metazoa; Arthropoda; Insecta; Hymenoptera; Apidae. The record is from RNAcentral.